CCGACUUGAGCUCAGUUGGAAGAGCAUCAGACUGUAAUUGUAAACCUUGCCGUUGGCUAUCUGAGGGUCCCCUGCUCGUACCAGGGAAGUCGGA
Non-coding RNA from Mycena crocata, 94 nucleotides. Lineage: Eukaryota; Fungi; Basidiomycota; Agaricomycetes; Agaricales; Mycenaceae. The record is from the annotation of a GenBank genome assembly.